CCCAAUUGCAAAUCAUUGCAUUUCAAAGCCCUAGGUGCCUGUAAUUUCUUAGCUGGAUUUCUUUAAAAUUAUUAGCUAUAUCUCUGAUUUAAUUCUUAUAUAAUCAUGAAUUCUUAGGGCUUUAGAUCUUUUAUUCUAUAAGGCUUUGAAUCUCUUUUCCUUUAGAUCCUUCUUUUGGCGUAUAAGGAGACCGAGAUUGAAUGAUGUUCUAGUAUGCGUUUUUGGGAUUUAAAUUUUUAGAUUUCUUGUAUUUCAUCAAUUUUAUGUCUGAACUGCGAUCUCAUUGGCAGAAGUCCAAGAUUUUUACGUGUUCUUGUGAAUUUGUAUUAGUAAUUAUCAACUUUAGCAAAUGAUAUAAUUUUGCUCGAUAAAUAUUUUUUCAUUUGUCUUUCGGUUCCAGUACUAAUUUCAGGUGAGGAAAGUAUUAAUUUUUUGGCUAGAUUUCAGCAACAAGAGCCUUUAUGUGUAAUUCUUAGAAUGAUUGCUCAUGUUCUAUCUAGCGCGAUCAUAUGGGACCAAUCAGUUGCAAUGAUUAAGAAUUUCAGUGGUUAAUACUGUUAUGUUUACACCCUGACAAUCUUUUGAUGUUAAAGCACCUAUCUUCUAUUUGACAAAAUACUUAACUAAUGUUUUUUAAAUUGUAUAUAUGCUAUAAUCUAGAGAAUAAAUUUAAUGUAAAAGCCUCCUGAAUCCUGAGAUGUAAUCAGGUUGCGUUUUAGAAAAUUCGGGUCCUGACUUGUUAUUUUUUAUCAAUC
RNAcentral lists this long non-coding RNA (755 nucleotides) under Olea europaea subsp. europaea. Lineage: Eukaryota; Viridiplantae; Streptophyta; Magnoliopsida; Lamiales; Oleaceae. The record is from RNAcentral.